UGCAGAUCAGAGCCAAUAGGAGUUAA
RNAcentral lists this non-coding RNA (26 nucleotides) under Mus musculus (house mouse). Lineage: Eukaryota; Metazoa; Chordata; Mammalia; Rodentia; Muridae. The record is from RNAcentral.